AUGGCGACGAAAGCGGCGGUGAUCGCCACGGUGCUGGCCCUGAACCUGCUCUUCUUCACCUUGGCCGACGACUGCGGCUGCAAGCUGCCUAGCCCGCCGCCGCCGGCCGGGGGAGGAGGAGGAGGGGGCGGCGGCGGUGGAGGCAAGGGUGGAGGAGGAGGGACCGGUGGCUGCCCGAUCGACGCGCUAAAGCUGGGGGCGUGCGCGAACGUGCUGGGCGGGCUGAUCAACCUGCGGCCGGUGACGACGCCGAAGCAGACGUGCUGCUCGCUGCUCCAGGGGCUGGCGGACCUGGAUGCGGCCGUGUGCCUGUGCACGGCUCUCAAGGCCAACAUCCUGGGCAUCCACCUCAACGUGCCCGUCGACCUCAACCUCCUCGUCAACUACUGCGGCAAGAACGUCCCCUCCGGCUUCCAGUGCCCCUAG
Molecule: ribosomal RNA, 426 nt
Filed under: Triticum aestivum (bread wheat)
Lineage: Eukaryota; Viridiplantae; Streptophyta; Magnoliopsida; Poales; Poaceae
Description: partial small subunit ribosomal RNA
Source: RNAcentral